UUCGUAGGCGGUGUGGCAAGUCGGGAGUGAAAUCUCUGGGCUUAACCCAGAGACUGCUUCCGAAACUGCUGUGCUUGAGUGUGGGAGAGGCGCGUGGAAUUGCAGGUGUAGCGGUGAAAUGCGUAGAUAUCUGCAGGAACACCCGUGGCGAAAGCGGCGCGCUGGACCACUACUGACGCUGAGGAACGAAAGCUAGGGGAGCAAACA
This 207-nucleotide ribosomal RNA is filed under the name uncultured bacterium. Its description in RNAcentral is "partial 16S ribosomal RNA". It matches the Rfam family "Bacterial small subunit ribosomal RNA", at positions 568 to 774 of the family's 1533-position model. The record is from RNAcentral.